CCUACGGGAGGCUGCAGUGGGGAAUCUUCCGCAAUGGGCGAAAGCCAGACGGAGCAACGCCGCGUGAUCGAAUGAAGGCCUUCGGGUUGUAAAGAUCUGUUGACAGGGACGAAUAAGCAAUGCAAAUAGUUUUGUGUAUGACGGUACCUGUUUAGAAAGCUCCGGCUAACUACGUGCCAGCAGCCGCGGUAAUACGUAGGGAGCAAGCGUUGUCCGGAAUUACUGGGCGUAAAGGGCGCGUAGGUGGGCGCUUAAGUCAGGUGUGAAAACUCCGGGCUCAACCUGGAGACUGCACUUGAAACUGGGUGUCUUGAGGGCAGGAGAGGAAAGUGGAAUUCCUAGUGUAGCGGUGAAAUGCGUAGAUAUCACGAAGAACUCCGAUUGCGAAGGCAGUUCACUGGACUGCAACUGACACUGAGGCUCGAAAGUGUGGGUAUCAAACAGGAUUAGAUACCCUUGUAGUC
This 464-nucleotide ribosomal RNA is filed under the name uncultured bacterium. RNAcentral describes it as "partial 16S ribosomal RNA". It matches the Rfam family "Bacterial small subunit ribosomal RNA", at positions 338 to 795 of the family's 1533-position model. The record is from RNAcentral.